ACGUAAUAUCACUUAAGUGGUUUUUUUCCUGUCAAAAAGUUGACUUGACAUUUGCUAUAUUAAGACCAUGCUUAUAUCCAGAGACCUAGUACUUUCCCCAGAAUUGAUUUUGUAAAUGUUGGUAAUAAAC
Small nucleolar RNA from Pteronotus mesoamericanus, 130 nucleotides. RefSeq annotates it as small nucleolar RNA SNORA72. The record is from RefSeq and is a predicted model, not a curated record. Lineage: Eukaryota; Metazoa; Chordata; Mammalia; Chiroptera; Mormoopidae. The transcript has a single exon.